RNAcentral lists this ribosomal RNA (632 nucleotides) under Salmonella enterica. RNAcentral's name for it is "partial 23S ribosomal RNA". It matches the Rfam family "Bacterial large subunit ribosomal RNA", at positions 638 to 1269 of the family's 2925-position model. Lineage: Bacteria; Pseudomonadati; Pseudomonadota; Gammaproteobacteria; Enterobacterales; Enterobacteriaceae. The record is from RNAcentral.
UAGCAAGGUUAACCGAAUAGGGGAGCCGGAGGGAAACCGAGUCUUAACCGGGCGUUAAGUUGCAGGGUAUAGACCCGAAACCCGGUGAUCUAGCCAUGGGCAGGUUGAAGGUUGGGUAACACUAACUGGAGGACCGAACCGACUAAUGUUGAAAAAUUAGCGGAUGACCUGUGGCUGGGGGUGAAAGGCCAAUCAAACCGGGAGAUAGCUGGUUCUCCCCGAAAGCUAUUUAGGUAGCGCCUCGUGAAUUCAUCUCCGGGGGUAGAGCACUGUUUCGGCUAGGGGGCCAUCCCGGCUUACCAACCCGAUGCAAACUGCGAAUACCGGAGAAUGUUAUCACGGGAGACACACGGCGGGUGCUAACGUCCGUCGUGAAGAGGGAAACAACCCAGACCGCCAGCUAAGGUCCCAAAGUCAUGGUUAAGUGGGAAACGAUGUGGGAAGGCCCAGACAGCCAGGAUGUUGGCUUAGAAGCAGCCAUCAUUUAAAGAAAGCGUAAUAGCUCACUGGUCGAGUCGGCCUGCGCGGAAGAUGUAACGGGGCUAAACCAUGCACCGAAGCUGCGGCAGCGACGCUUAUGCGUUGUUGGGUAGGGGAGCGUUCUGUAAGCCUGUGAAGGUGUGUCGUGAGGC